CCUACGGGAGGCAGCAGUGAGGAAUAUUGGACAAUGGGCGCAAGCCUGAUCCAGCCAUGCCGCGUGCAGGAAGACGGUCCUAUGGAUUGUAAACUGCUUUUGUACAGGAAGAAACACUCCCUCGUGAGGGAGCUUGACGGUACUGUAAGAAUAAGGAUCGGCUAACUCCGUGCCAGCAGCCGCGGUAAUACGGAGGAUCCAAGCGUUAUCCGGAAUCAUUGGGUUUAAAGGGUCCGUAGGCGGUUUAAUAAGUCAGUGGUGAAAUCUGGUCGCUCAACGAUCAAACGGCCAUUGAUACUGUUAGACUUGAAUUAUUAGGAAGUAACUAGAAUAUGUAGUGUAGCGGUGAAAUGCUUAGAUAUUACAUGGAAUACCAAUUGCGAAGGCAGGUUACUACUAAUGGAUUGACGCUGAUGGACGAAAGCGUGGGGAGCGAACAGGAUUAGAUACCCUGGUAGUCCACGCCGUAAACGA
This 474-nucleotide ribosomal RNA is filed under the name uncultured bacterium. RNAcentral describes it as "bacterial SSU rRNA". It matches the Rfam family "Bacterial small subunit ribosomal RNA", at positions 338 to 809 of the family's 1533-position model. The record is from RNAcentral.